ACGAACGCUGGCGGCGUGCUUAACACCUGCAAGUCGAACGGAAAGGCCCUGCUUUUGUGGGGUGCUCGAGUGGCGAACGGGUGAGUAACACGUGAGUAACCUGCCCUUGACUUUGGGAAAACUUCAGGAAACUGGGGCUAAUACCGGAUAGGAGCUCCUGCUGCAUGGUGGGGGUUGGAAAGUUUCGGCGGUUGGGGAUGGACUCGCGGCUUAUCAGCUUGUUGGUGGGGUAGUGGCUUACCAAGGCUUUGAGGGGUAGCCGGCCUGAGAGGGUGACCGGCCACAUUGGGACUGAGAUACGGCCCAGACUCCUACGGGAGGCAGCAGUGGGGAAUAUUGCACAAUGGGCGGAAGCCUGAUGCAGCAACGCCGCGUGCGGGAUGACGGCCUUCGGGUUGUAAACCGCUUUCGCCUGUGACGAAGCGUGAGUGACGGUAAUGGGUAAAGAAGCACCGGCUAACUACGUG
RNAcentral lists this ribosomal RNA (467 nucleotides) under uncultured bacterium. RNAcentral describes it as "partial 16S ribosomal RNA". It matches the Rfam family "Bacterial small subunit ribosomal RNA", at positions 29 to 507 of the family's 1533-position model. The record is from RNAcentral.